RNAcentral lists this ribosomal RNA (69 nucleotides) under Staphylococcus pseudintermedius. Its description in RNAcentral is "partial 16S ribosomal RNA". It matches the Rfam family "Bacterial small subunit ribosomal RNA", at positions 1 to 67 of the family's 1533-position model. Lineage: Bacteria; Bacillati; Bacillota; Bacilli; Caryophanales; Staphylococcaceae. The record is from RNAcentral.
CUUUUAUGGAGAGUUUGAUCCUGGCUCAGGAUGAACGCUGGCGGCGUGCCUAAUACAUGCAAGUCGAGC